RNAcentral lists this ribosomal RNA (254 nucleotides) under uncultured bacterium. RNAcentral describes it as "partial 16S ribosomal RNA". It matches the Rfam family "Bacterial small subunit ribosomal RNA", at positions 524 to 776 of the family's 1533-position model. The record is from RNAcentral.
UACGUAGGGUGCGAGCGUUGUCCGGAAUUAUUGGGCGUAAAGAGCUCGUAGGCGGUGUGUCGCGUCGGCCGUGAAAACUUGCAGCUUAACUGUGGGCGUGCGGUCGAUACGGGCAUCACUGGAGUUCGGCAGGGGAGACUGGAAUUCCUGGUGUAGCGGUGAAAUGCGCAGAUAUCAGGAGGAACACCGGUGGCGAAGGCGGGUCUCUGGACAGUUCCUGACGCUGAGGCACGAAGGCCAGGGGAGCAAACGGG